Molecule: long non-coding RNA, 400 nt
Organism: Pseudopipra pipra
Lineage: Eukaryota; Metazoa; Chordata; Aves; Passeriformes; Pipridae
Exons: 2
Source: RefSeq, a predicted model, not a curated record
CCUCUGGCUUUUAAGGUCUCUACUCCCAGAAGUACAGCAGCAAGAAAAAGCUCUUAAGAUCUCCUGAACCUCUGGUUUCUCUCCCAUCCAUCAGGCUCACCCCGAGGAGGUUCUCCUACCUGGUUAUUAAAAGUGAAGGUCCUGAUCCAGGAGCUGCAGCCAAGGAGGAGACAAAAGACAGAGAAGCAUCCCAAAAUGGAAGGAGUCUUUAAUGGGUGUUUACCAUGUCCUCCUGCCUCUACCCUGGGAUGUGAUGACCCAGCUGGGAUGGAAGUGAGUGUCCCCAGGUCUUCUGAUCCCCCAGGUCUGGCAGAGGCUGGGGCUGUCUCUGCCACACCUCUCUGUCCAGCUGCUGCCACAUGGAAAGGAUCUUUUGGUAUGAUAAAAGAAUCAGACCAGA